Molecule: long non-coding RNA, 1915 nt
Organism: Balaenoptera acutorostrata (minke whale)
Lineage: Eukaryota; Metazoa; Chordata; Mammalia; Artiodactyla; Balaenopteridae
Exons: 3
Source: RefSeq, a predicted model, not a curated record
GCCGGUCGGGACGCGCCGGCGGGACGGCCACCGCAGGCCCCUUACUGACCCUCGGGGGAAAGGGAGGAACCAAGUGGGUGUGAGGGGGACGCAGUGUGCUCUUCCGCCGCCCGAGCCCGUUGACGGUGCGCGGACCCUCCGCGCUCACGUUCCCUUCCGCAGUCGGCGCCCUGCGCCCGGCGCCGGGGAGCUGUCCGCCCCGGUGGUUCUGAAUCAGGCGCUGCGGAAACGCUCCAGGGAAGUGGAUGGGACAACGGAGCACGUACGUGAGCAGAGGAGACGGCCCACGUGCAUGUCCAUGGUUUCUUACCUUCUCGUUUGCAUAGAGCGGUCGCCCUGCCUGUGAGCACAGCAUUGAAGUGGACAUGCUAUGCUCGUUGACACUCAAAGUGAGUACAAGCUACCACACAGCAUCAAAAUGAGGAGAUUCGCCUGGGUACAGCACUACCAUUUCAUGCACAGAGCCCACGUGCAUUCUGUCACCUGUCCUGAUAACCAUGACGGGAUGCAGGGAGCUGUCAGUCUCCAUCUCCUUCAGGCCGCAGCAGCCCUCGGUCAUUCCUUCACUUUCAGGACCUUGACACUUCUGAAGAUUACAGGCCAGUUAUGUUCUAGAAUGUUCCUCGGUUUGGGUUUGUCUGAUGUUUCCUCAAGAUUGGAUCCAGGUUAUGUGUCUUUGGCAGGAAUAACACAGUAGUGAUGCUGUGCUUUUCUCCCUGCAUCCUAGGAGGUGGCGUAGGAUUUUGAUUUGCCCCAUUACUGGCAAUAUUACCUGUGAUCAUUUGAUUAAGGUAGAGUGUGCCAGUCUUCACUGCAAAGUUACAUUUUUCCCUUUUGGAAUUCAGAAUUAUUUAGUAGAGUGGUAUUUUAACAUGAUAUAAGUAUCCCAUUCCUCUUUAAGCAUUUAAUUUAUUAUUUAUUUUUUGUAUUUGUAUGGAUGCACGUUUUCCAAUUUGUUGAAUGGAGUGCAAUCUGUUACCUCCAUUAUUUAUCUUGAUGUUCAUGUUGUCCCCAAUCUGACCAGUAGGGGGGGCCCUUCAAGCUGACUUUGGGGUUCUUUUGACAUGUCCCAUCAUUCUUUGAGCACUUCAGCGCAGCAAGGUGUUCCAGGUUUGUACUUUCCCUGCCCAGCCCUAGAAUCAGUUAACUUCUCCUGGUGCCUUUAAGUGGAGAAAGCAAUUUAGAAGCCAAGAUCUGCACCCUAGGUGUGCUCAUUGCUACUGAGAUGUCAUUGUUUCCAAGCAAUUUAUUGAACAGUGCUACAUAUAUGUAUGCAUGUAAAUAUGUCUGUGUACACAUGUAUGCAUACAUGUGUGUUUUGGAGCAAACACAAACACAUUUCCAUUUGUAUUUACUUCUAUAUAUCUAUAUAUUUUGGACUUGAGUUCCUACGGUUCUUUCAAUCCCAAUUCAAUACACAGGUUUAAUUCUAGUUCUUUUCCCCUUUCCAUAUUUGUAACCACCUUCUCCAAAUGUAAGAAACCUGGGUCCCAUUAUCCUUAAUAUACUAACAUGGUUUGAUCAGUUCCCCUGUUCAUAACUAGUCUUGCAUCUUCCCUGCCCAAUGUCCUCCUCACCUCGUGCUGGCUCAGGUUCUCGGGGCUGCACCGCCCCCCACUCACGUGGACACCCUCCUCAGCCUGCUCAGACUCUGACGACCAGCCCGGCUUCCCUCCACGGGGACUCCUUCUUUUCCCUGUGCACUAGGCUGCUACCCCAAACCACCCCGUGUGGGUCAGAGACCCCACGCCAGGCUGCCCCACAGAGGGAAGCUCUUUUCACUCUGUUUGGGCUGCGACACCUCACCUGCACAUUCUUUAAACUUAGCAGGAAAUGCACAUUUACCAAACAUAAAUUUGAAAUAUUGUUGGAUACGUGGUGGGAAAGUUGAGCUGAUGCCUGCAUGCUAUGAAAA